Molecule: ribosomal RNA, 440 nt
Filed under: uncultured bacterium
Lineage: Bacteria
Description: partial 16S ribosomal RNA
Rfam family: Bacterial small subunit ribosomal RNA
Source: RNAcentral
CCUACGGGAGGCAGCAGUAGGGAAUAUUGCUCAAUGGGGGAAACCCUGAUGCAGCAACGCCGCGUGGAGGAUGAAGGUUUUCGGAUUGUAAACUCCUUUUGUUAGAGAAGAUAAUGACGGUAUCUAACGAAUAAGCACCGGCUAACUCCGUGCCAGCAGCCGCGGUAAUACGGAGGGUGCAAGCGUUACUCGGAAUCACUGGGCGGAAAGAGCGCGUAGGCGGGAUAGCAAGUCAGAUGUGAAAUCCUAUGGCUUAACCAUAGAACUGCAUUUGAAACUGUUAUUCUAGAGUAUGGGAGAGGUAGGUGGAAUUCGUGGUGUAGGGGUGAAAUCCGUAGAGAUUAAGAGGAAUACUCAUGGCGAAGGCGACCUGCUAGAACAUAACUGACGCUGAUGCGCGAAAGCGUGGGGAGCAAACAGGAUUAGAUACCCUUGUAGUC